AUGAUGCGUUCUGGAAGGUCAAGUAUGACCAUGGAGCUGCCAAAAAAGCCAGGAAGGCUAAGAAAGCCGCCAGGAGAGCCGCUCCCCGCAAGAAGGGGAGUAAGCCUAGCGCCUCAGAGCUGCUUCAGCUGGAUGAUAGCUCCGAGUCAGAGGAUGAUACCGGAGCGAGUAACCAUCUUAUUGACACUGAUCAUUUCCUCCGACUCGGAGCCCUUGCCAAGGCUGAAAGUCCGAAGAGUAACCCGGAAAGUAAGAUUUUCACAUCCUUUAGCUUAUCAAGAUCCUCAAUUUCUUUUGAAGCAACAGAUUCAUGAGAGCCGGAGACAAACCCGGGCCACCAAGGAUGCAGACCUCUCCUCUGGCUUACCUGAAGCAUCAAGGAAGCGCCGGACCGAGGUUAUCUCCAACUUAUAUCCUUUUCAUCAUUUGGCGGGCAUCAUUCGCCAACCACUCAAUUCUUCCGAUUCAAACUAUCAGGAAACUUCACCUUCCUCUGGUGACUCUAUGCAAUCUAACUUGCCGGCUUUCAAGACCGCACCUGGUGCUUAA
This 549-nucleotide ribosomal RNA is filed under the name Triticum aestivum (bread wheat). Its description in RNAcentral is "partial small subunit ribosomal RNA". Lineage: Eukaryota; Viridiplantae; Streptophyta; Magnoliopsida; Poales; Poaceae. The record is from RNAcentral.